This 328-nucleotide ribosomal RNA is filed under the name uncultured Bacteroidota bacterium. Its description in RNAcentral is "bacterial SSU rRNA". It matches the Rfam family "Bacterial small subunit ribosomal RNA", at positions 28 to 351 of the family's 1533-position model. The record is from RNAcentral. Lineage: Bacteria; Pseudomonadati; Bacteroidota.
GAUGAACGCUAGCGGGAGGCUUAACACAUGCAAGUCGAGGGGCAGCAUGAGGUAGCAAUACCUUGAUGGCGACCGGCAGACGGGUGAGUAACGCGUAUGCAACCUACCCUGUACAGGGGGAUAACCCGGAGAAAUUCGGACUAAUACCCCAUAAGGUUAUAGAUAGGCAUCUAUUUAUAAUUAAAGUUCCGGCGGUACGGGAUGGGCGUGCGUAACAUUAGCUAGUUGGUAAGGUAACGGCUUACCAAGGCUUUGAUGUUUAGGGGUCCUGAGAGGGUGGUCCCCCACACUGGUACUGAGACACGGACCAGACUCCUACGGGAGGCUG